UGGGUAAUCUGCCCUCGAUUCUGGGAUAGCCCGGGGAAAACCCGGAUUAAUACCGGAUAGCCUCUCGAGCUUUCGAGCUUGUGAGAAAAGGUAGCUUCGGCCUCCGAUCGAGGAUGAGCCCGCGGCGGAUUAGCUUGUUGGUGGGGUAAUGGCCUACCAAGGCGACGAUCCGUAGCUGGUCUGAGAGGACGAUCAGCCACACGUGGGACUGAGACACGGCCCAGACCUCCGUACGGGAGCAG
Molecule: ribosomal RNA, 242 nt
Filed under: uncultured bacterium
Lineage: Bacteria
Description: partial 16S ribosomal RNA
Rfam family: Bacterial small subunit ribosomal RNA
Source: RNAcentral